GCCUAAAUUUUAGCCCUAAUUUUUCCUAUAACACCCCCGCACUAAACCACCGCCACUAAAACAUUCUAACAAUCUAGUACAGGCGAUCGAAAAACUUCUCAGAGCUAUAAAUAGUACUGCAAAGGAACAAUGAAAUAGAAAUGAAAGAACAUUAAAGCCCCACACAGUAGAGACGUACCCUCGUACCUUUUGCAUCAU
This 198-nucleotide ribosomal RNA is filed under the name Crinia signifera. RNAcentral describes it as "partial 16S ribosomal RNA". Lineage: Eukaryota; Metazoa; Chordata; Amphibia; Anura; Myobatrachidae. The record is from RNAcentral.